AACCAAAAUGAACACAAAACCCUCGUCAGAACGAACUCACAAAAAUACAACACAAUAAUAGAGUUACUUAGUGACACAUCAGUUUCAACUCAAGCAGCAUCCUUUGAAGCCUUACCUUUUCUACCACUACCACUAGCAUUAACCUUCCUUGCAUCUUCAGGUAUAGUGUCUUCCAUUACCUUUGGAGAAGUGAAAUUGAAGUCCUCAAUAGAUACAUCUUUGUAUUUUGGAUUUGCUUCUAAAAAUGCAGCAAUUUCAUUUCUCGUUCUUAGUUUCUUUCCUGUGGGAGUGAUAUAAUAAGCAUCCAUUUUAGAGAAAUCUCGUCUGAGCACCAAGCUCCUCUUAAAACCUACAGGGGUCUUUGGGAUCCCAGGCCUGUCAAUGACCCAAGUUCGAGUUGCAUUGUAUUCGAUGUCAGCAGGAUCCUCACAAGAUACACCGGGUUUUCUGUCACAAACAAAGGGAUUCUCGAAGAUUUUGCUUCUUAUUUCCUCGUACUCUUCUUGCGUUGCAAUUACCCUCCAUUUUGAGCAUUUUUCACAUUGCGCAGCAUAGGUAUCCACUGAUCGCACUGCCCAUCGUGGAUUCUUCGACGACGUUUUGGGUGUUUCUCGAUUGUCCUCUUUCGUUGCCAUUUCCUCUCUCUCUCUCUCUCUCUCUCUCUCUGGCCGGCAAGAAAAUAGAAGAAAGAAAAAUAAACAAACUUAAAAUCUAGAGAAUUCGAUUCAAUUCC
This 733-nucleotide unclassified non-coding RNA is filed under the name Hevea brasiliensis (rubber tree). Lineage: Eukaryota; Viridiplantae; Streptophyta; Magnoliopsida; Malpighiales; Euphorbiaceae. The record is from RNAcentral.